GGAGAGGUGACCGAGAGGCCGAAGGUGCCUGAUUCGAAAUCAGGUGUGGUGCAAGCCACCGCGGGUUCGAAUCCCGCUCUCUCCGCCA
This 88-nucleotide transfer RNA is filed under the name Deltaproteobacteria bacterium. RNAcentral's name for it is "tRNA-Ser". It matches the Rfam family "tRNA". Rfam says of the family: Transfer RNA (tRNA) molecules are approximately 80 nucleotides in length. Their secondary structure includes four short double-helical elements and three loops (D, anti-codon, and T loops). Lineage: Bacteria; Pseudomonadati; Myxococcota; Myxococcia. RNAcentral also lists the same sequence under 1 other name. The record is from RNAcentral.